CUCCUUCCAUGGGUGCCACGUUAUCACUGUUGCAUCGUUGCUUUCUUGUUGCCACCCUUUCGUUCAUUUAUUGAACAGAAACGUAUGGAGCACCUGCUAUAUGCCAGGCACAAUUCUAGACUCCAAAGGUUCAAUGGUGAACAAGAAAGUCCAAAACAUUCCUUCUCUCAUGGAACUUACUUUCCAAUAGAAGAAGAUAGACUUUAAGCAAAAUAAAUUUGUAUCUUACAUAAAGCUGCAUAUGAAACCCUGAUCAGUGCCACAAAGGAAGAGAAAUGGGAAAGAACAGGGCAUGAGGUUUUUGUCCCUCUCUUAAAGUGAAUGGUCACAGAGCCAUGAGCAGGUGGAAGAUGCAGGUGGAGGCAUCUUCCCUGUCACCGUUGGUAUGUCUGGUUGAAACCUGCAACAAGUUGGGUUCUCUACCUGGCUGACGCCAUGUUGCCUGCUUCUUCACUGUGCAUGUGGAGCCUGAGGGGAAUGUUUCAAGGAAGAGGGGACAAGCAAGUCAGCAUCUGGAGGAAUGGAGGCAGCACUGUGUUGCAUGGCUCCAGAGAACACCACUCUCUUUGUGUUCUAUGCAACAUGCCCACGAGUUAUGCAUUGCAGCACCUGGCCAUAAAUCAUCACCAACCCUAUGGAUGAAGCAACACCCCAGGGAGGGUGGAGAAGUACAGGGGAAGGAGCCAGGGCCCCCAUGAAACAAACAUUUCUUCCAGGAAUUUCCCAAGCCCAGACCAUUGCAUGAAAAGAGAAAUAAAAUACUCUUUUGUUUCCAUCACAUUGUUUUUGGUCUCAGUUGGAGCAGCAGACCCUAUAUUGCAACAAACAGACUCAAUCACCCUCAUUAUUAGGAAAGUCAGCUCUGCAGCAAUUCUUCCCUUAAACACCACAGGGUGUUUUGGGCGUUAAAGGAAAAACCUUAGAAAAACUAAAUGUAACAGAAUUUAAUUGAGUGAAAAAUGGUUCUUGAAUUGGGCAAUCCCCAAAACAGAAUAGGUUCAGAGAUGCUUCCAGGCUACCGCGUGGUCGAGGAUGAUUUAUGGGCAGAAAAAAGAGAGUGACAUAUGGAAAACAGAAGUAAGGAACAGAAACAGCUGGAUGGGUUCUAGCUUGGCGUUUGCCUUCUUUGAACAUGGUUUGAAGAGUUGGCUGUCUGUGAUUGGCUGAAACCCAGAGAUUGGUACUAGAGUUGGUUAUAGCCUGUUUACACAUCCAGUUAGGUGAUAGUUCACUAUGUAUGAAGAAACAUUUAAACCAAACUGAAUUUAACAUGGAUAAGACAAGGUCUUUCGUUAAAGGGCCAUGAGAGUGAAGGCAACUUUCACCUCCAGAGCCCCUGCCUUCUGUGCCUGGAUGCCCAGAGGGUCAUCAGCCUGUGUCAUCACGUGGAAUGUCAUCCAUCCUCCUCUGAGAGCCUCAGCAGGGUAAAGAUAUGGCAAAACCCAGACUGUUGUAUUCAUCGCUGUAUACCUAGAGUCCAUCACUGUACUAGCACACAGUAGGGCUCAGAGGUGCUGCUUGCUCAGUAAAGGACUGAAUGAACACAUUGAUGGCUAUAGCCAGUGAGUGAUGCACCAGAUGGGUGCUCACAUUCCUCCAUGCUUUGGCUCCAUCCAACCUAUCUGCUUCCUCUACAAUGUCUUCUUCCCAUGUGGACCAACAGCAGCAACAGCACCUGGGGACUUGUUAGAAUGCAAACUCAUAGGCUGCUCUCCAGACUGCCCAAGUUGGGAACUCUGGUGCUGGCGCGGGGUGCAGUAGUCUGUGUUUUAAUGCACCCACCAGGCGAUUCCAAUGCUGACUCGAGUUUGAGAGCCGCUGCUCGCCAUGAGUGUUUCACAAAUUGCAUAGCACAGCCAUUCCUUUGUUGUUCCCUCUACCUGGGAUGCCUUUCUCCCUAUCUCUGUCAGUAGCAGACUCACUCAUGUUUGGGGGACUCUGAACACGCCACCUCCUCCAGAAAGUAUCCCCAGAUCCCCACAGUCUGGAGGAAUAACUCCCUGGGGAUACUCACAGGCUGUGCUUGUCUCUUCAAUCCCUGGUUUAUUCAGGCCAGAGCUUCCUGCCUCCCCAACUGGGAUGUGAGCUCCUUUCUGCAGUACCAGGUUUUCUUCAACUCCCCAGCCCCUGGCUCCAUCGAGCCAAACUUACAUUGGUAUUCAAUAAAUGCUGUUGGUUUGGUUUUUUUGUUUUUUUUUUUUUUUUUUUGAGACGGAGUCUCGCUCUGUUGCCCAGCCUGGAGUGCAGUGGUGCAAUCUCCGCUCACUGCAAGCUCUGCCUCCCGUGUUCAUGCCAUUCUCCUGCCUCAGCCUCCCGAGUAGCUGGGACCACAGGCACCUGCCACCACCCAGCUAAUUUUUUGUAUUUUUAGUAGAGACAGGAUUUCACUGUGUUAGCCAGGAUGGUCUCGAUCUCCUGACCUCGUGAUCCACCCGCCUCAGCCUCCCAAAGUGCUGGGAUUACAGGCAUGAGCCAACAUGCCUGGCCUGCUGUUGGUUAGAAUAAUACCACAGAGCAUCAGUCUAGUCCACUCCUAGAUAUAGACUCACAAAGAAGAAAGCCAGGUGGCACAGUGAU
RNAcentral lists this long non-coding RNA (2577 nucleotides) under Homo sapiens (human). Its description in RNAcentral is "HSALNT0144262". The record is from RNAcentral. Lineage: Eukaryota; Metazoa; Chordata; Mammalia; Primates; Hominidae.